This 612-nucleotide ribosomal RNA is filed under the name uncultured bacterium. RNAcentral describes it as "bacterial SSU rRNA". The stretch from base 1 to 518 matches the Rfam family "Bacterial small subunit ribosomal RNA", at positions 338 to 873 of the family's 1533-position model. The record is from RNAcentral.
CCUACGGGAGGCAGCAGUGGGGAAUAUUGGACAAUGGGCGAAAGCCUGAUCCAGCAAUGCCGCGUGAGUGAUGAAGGCCUUAGGGUCGUAAAGCUCUUUUACCAGGGAUGAUAAUGACAGUACCUGGAGAAUAAGCUCCGGCUAACUCCGUGCCAGCAGCCGCGGUAAUACGGAGGGAGCUAGCGUUGUUCGGAAUUACUGGGCGUAAAGCGUGCGUAGGCGGUUAUUCAAGUCAGAGGUGAAAGCCCGGGGCUCAACCCCGGAACGGCCUUUGAAACUAGAUAACUAGAAUCUUGGAGAGGUCAGUGGAAUUCCGAGUGUAGAGGUGAAAUUCGUAGAUAUUCGGAAGAACACCAGUGGCGAAGGCGACUGACUGGACAAGUAUUGACGCUGAGGUACGAAAGCGUGGGGAGCAAACAGGAUUAGAUACCCUGGUAGUCCACGCCGUAAACGAUGAUAACUAGCUGUCCGGACACUUGGUGUUUGGGUGGCGCAGCUACGACAUUAAGUUAUCCGCCCGGGACGGUACGGUCGCAAGAAGUAAAACUAACAAAUAGAAGUUAGACGGACGUGUAGACGUUGACGAACGGACGACGAACGAGGGAGGUUAGG